RNAcentral lists this transfer RNA (64 nucleotides) under Cryptocephalus quadripunctatus. RNAcentral describes it as "tRNA-Arg". The record is from RNAcentral. Lineage: Eukaryota; Metazoa; Arthropoda; Insecta; Coleoptera; Chrysomelidae.
AGAUACGAAGCAAUUAUUUGCAGCUAGUUUCGACCUAGAAAUUUGACUAUCAAGUCCCUAUCUA